Molecule: ribosomal RNA, 446 nt
Filed under: uncultured bacterium
Lineage: Bacteria
Description: bacterial SSU rRNA
Rfam family: Bacterial small subunit ribosomal RNA
Source: RNAcentral
GUCCAGACUCCUACGGGAGGCAGCAGUGGGGAAUAUUGCACAAUGGGGGAAACCCUGAUGCAGCGACGCCGCGUGAGCGAUGAAGUAUUUCGGUAUGUAAAGCUCUAUCAGCAGGGAAGAAGAUGACGGUACCUGACUAAGAAGCCCCGGCUAACUACGUGCCAGCAGCCGCGGUAAUACGUAGGGGGCAAGCGUUAUCCGGAUUUACUGGGUGUAAAGGGAGCGUAGACGGCGAUGCAAGCCAGAUGUGAAAGCCCGGGGCUCAACCCCGGGACUGCAUUUGGAACUGUGUGGCUGGAGUGUCGGAGAGGCAGGCGGAAUUCCUAGUGUAGCGGUGAAAUGCGUAGAUAUUAGGAGGAACACCAGUGGCGAAGGCGGCCUGCUGGACGAUGACUGACGUUGAGGCUCGAAAGCGUGGGGAGCAAACAGGAUUAGAUACCCUCGUA